Molecule: non-coding RNA, 328 nt
Organism: Pelobates cultripes (western spadefoot toad)
Lineage: Eukaryota; Metazoa; Chordata; Amphibia; Anura; Pelobatidae
Source: the annotation of a GenBank genome assembly
UAUAUGGCUCUCUGAUAACUGCACCGUUUAUGUACUCUUUUAUGAGUUUAUAUUCUAUUUUGUCCUAUAUAGAUGUUGUAACGGAUCGCCUGGCACCCCGACUGGGUACCUCCGUUAAAGGAUGCUCCUAGCGCUUCCUGAGGACUCCAAGCACUCUGGCAGACACCACAAUCACCGAACCGGAGAAACAAAUAAAUUCUCCCAAGCAUAUGAAUGCUGUAGACAGUUGAAUAGGAACCAUAUGAAUAGGUUUACUCUCCUAGCAGUCAAACUGGAACAGCAUACAAUAAAUCCUUCCCCCAAUAAUGAGGCGACACUUCACUUUGAG